CUCAUUAAAUCAGUUAUAGUUUAUUUGAUGGUCUCUUUUGUCUUUUUUUACCUACUUGGAUAACCGUGGUAAUUCUAGAGCUAAUACAUGCGCAAGGUCCCGAGCGCGGGGGGGCAGGGCUUCACGGCUCUAUUCUUGCAUGCGUAGCGGGAUGUAUUUAUUAGGUUAAACAACCAGCAUUUUCAUCAUCUGGUGAUUCAUAGUAACUCUUUCGGGUCGCAUUCAUG
This 227-nucleotide ribosomal RNA is filed under the name uncultured Acanthamoeba. Its description in RNAcentral is "partial 18S ribosomal RNA". It matches the Rfam family "Eukaryotic small subunit ribosomal RNA", at positions 97 to 279 of the family's 1831-position model. Lineage: Eukaryota; Discosea; Longamoebia; Acanthamoebidae. The record is from RNAcentral.